AUGCAAUUCACUUGUUUAGCAAAUUUGGAAGAAUAUUUCCCUGUGUAUGCAGCCAGUAUAAAUAGCAGAUAAAGACUUCAGGUACUCUUUUUUUACUGAAGAUUUAUUAAAUCUUCUUUAAUUGUCUUCUUCUGUUGGUUUUUUGCAAGUAGGGAAGUCAUGAAAUCGAGUUCAGUCACGGUAAACUUCUGUUAUGGAAGAACUCCUGCCGUUUGCAGGAGGCUGCUCUGCAAAGACCAUGUUGAUUACAAAAUAGAGCAAAGCAGAUGCAAUUUCCCUCUUCAAAAUGGCAGGGUAUUGUUAAGCAGUGUGACUGUGAAGCACAAACAGACUGUCUUGUGGGCGACUGCUGAUGGCUGUCACGCGGCGCUCAUGCUCUAACUGUGUCUGCUACACUAGUGUCGACUGACUCACAAAACAUUUCCACGUGUUUUACUUCAGGAAAAGUGCAAAGAUCUUGAUGAGAAAUGAUGAAAGUGCUAAUGCUUGUCAUUGAAGCAUCUGUCGUCUUGUGUGGACAAAAUGAGUAAUAUAAUGCUUAUUGUAAGCAUUAUAAGAUAAAUGCAUAAAAAUUCA
This is a long non-coding RNA of Paramormyrops kingsleyae, 576 nucleotides long. RefSeq lists it as uncharacterized. The record is from RefSeq and is a predicted model, not a curated record. Lineage: Eukaryota; Metazoa; Chordata; Actinopteri; Osteoglossiformes; Mormyridae.